This 468-nucleotide ribosomal RNA is filed under the name uncultured bacterium. RNAcentral describes it as "partial 16S ribosomal RNA". It matches the Rfam family "Bacterial small subunit ribosomal RNA", at positions 28 to 507 of the family's 1533-position model. The record is from RNAcentral.
GACGAACGCUGGCGGCGUGCUUAACACAUGCAAGUCGAACGGAAAGGCCCUGCUUUCGUGGGGUGCUCGAGUGGCGAACGGGUGAGUAACACGUGAGUAACCUGCCCUUGACUUUGGGAUAACUUCAGGAAACUGGGGCUAAUACCGGAUAGGAGCUCCUGCUGCAUGGUGGGGGUUGGAAAGUUUCGGCGGUUGGGGAUGGACUCGCGGCUUAUCAGCUUGUUGGUGGGGUAGUGGCUUACCAAGGCUUUGACGGGUAGCCGGCCUGAGAGGGUGACCGGCCACAUUGGGACUGAGAUACGGCCCAGACUCCUACGGGAGGCAGCAGUGGGGAAUAUUGCCCAAUGGGCGGAAGCCUGAUGCAGCAACGCCGCGUGCGGGAUGACGGCCUUCGGGUUGUAAACCGCUUUCGCCUGUGACGAAGCGUGAGUGACGGUAAUGGGUAAAGAAGCACCGGCUAACUACGUG